CUGAAUAGCUGAGAGGCGCACCCGGGCGGCCAGCUGGGCUCGGAGUGCAGCGGGGUUAGGAUGGACGAGGACGUGUUGCACCCUGAAGAGCCUCAUCAUCGCCUGCUCUUGAGGUUCACAGAUGAUACCUUUGAUCCAGAACUUGCAGCAACAAUAGAUCCAUCUUCGGUUGUGAAUCCGGCCCGGAAUGCAGCCACCCCUUAGAGCAACCCCCCUUGCUGCUCGUGCCCUGCUGUGCUACUGCCUCAGUCACUUCCUGCUUGGUCAAGACCACAGCUGCUGAUGUCACAGCUGAGGCACAUCAGAAAGGCUGCCUGAUUCAAAGAAAGCUGCCGGAUAAAUCAUAGAGCACAGACACUUCUACCUCAUGCUCUUAUGGGACUUUAGGAACCAAACAUAAGCACCUAUGGAAAAUGCACGGCGGUCUUGAAAGGCUGUGGUCUUUAUCAGAAAAUAUCUGAAUGACUGUUUGUUAUGUCAGUCCUACUCUGCAGGCUUGCUAAGAUGAUGAUUGAAAGGGCUCUUGGUUUCUGCUUUGGAAUCUGGCAUUUAUGUUUUGAAGCGUUGUGAGCAAGCGAUGUGGCAGAUUGCAGGGUGAGGGGGACAAACCUGGGCCAGGAGCCAGGGGUUUCUCUACCCCCUUCCCUGACUUACAGCUGGAACUGGGCUCAGUGGUUUCAGCCUCAUUUGCUAAGAAGGUCUGGGUAUGUAAUCCUGGCUGCAUCUUAAAAUCCCUAGGAGCUUUUAAGACAUAUUGACACAUAAGCUCUAACUCACAUGAAACGAAAACACAUCUCUGGGGCUGGGCUGAGCAAAUGCAUUUUUUAAAAGGCCCCUCAGGUGAUUCUGUCUCAGAGAUGUUGAAAACCAGUGGGUUAGGAGCUCAGUCAUCCACUUUCAGAUCUGUGAUUAUGCCACUAUUAAAUACAGUUGGCUAUCACAUAGAUUUUAUGCUUUAGCUUGUUCUUUUUUCCUUUGCUAUACCAAAUAAAAUCUUCUGAGCUGUAGUUCCAGUCCUUAAAAUAAUGGUUGUUACCAUACUGAGGUUAAACAUUAGUGCAUUUGCUUAACAAGGACUUUAAAACUUAUCACACUGCCAUAAUUUUUAAUGGUUUCUAUAAUGAUUAAUUAAUAAGAAAAUCAAUAAUUGGAUUUUAAGCAGGAAACUAGGCAGGAAAGUUGAAAUUCAUAGACCAAUUCAAUGGAAAACAUUAAAAUGUAUUGGGAGAUGCCCAAUAUUCUA
RNAcentral lists this long non-coding RNA (1243 nucleotides) under Homo sapiens (human). RNAcentral's name for it is "non-protein coding lnc-LYZL1-15:21". Lineage: Eukaryota; Metazoa; Chordata; Mammalia; Primates; Hominidae. The record is from RNAcentral.